This 468-nucleotide ribosomal RNA is filed under the name uncultured bacterium. RNAcentral's name for it is "partial 16S ribosomal RNA". It matches the Rfam family "Bacterial small subunit ribosomal RNA", at positions 28 to 507 of the family's 1533-position model. The record is from RNAcentral.
GACGAACGCUGGCGGCGUGCUUAACACAUGCAAGUCGAACGGAAAGGCCCUGCUUUUGUGGGGUGCUCGAGUGGCGAACGGGUGAGUAACACGUGAGUAACCUGCCCUUGACUUUGGGAUAACUUCAGGAAACUGGGGCUAAUACCGGAUAGGAGCUCCUGCUGCAUGGGGGGGGUUGGAAAGUUUCGGCGGUGGGGGAUGGACUCGCGGCUUAUCAGCUUGUUGGUGGGGUAGUGGCUUACCAAGGCUUUGACGGGUAGCCGGCCUGAGAGGGUGACCGGCCACAUUGGGACUGAGGUACGGCCCAGACUCCUACGGGAGGCAGCAGUGGGGAAUAUUGCACCAUGGGCGGAAGCCUGAUGCAGCAACGCCGCGUGCGGGAUGACGGCCUUCGGGUUGUAAACCGCUUUCGCCUGUGACGAAGCGUGAGUGACGGUAAUGGGUAAAGAAGCACCGGCUAACUACGUG